Molecule: long non-coding RNA, 6555 nt
Organism: Loxodonta africana (African savanna elephant)
Lineage: Eukaryota; Metazoa; Chordata; Mammalia; Proboscidea; Elephantidae
Exons: 4
Source: RefSeq, a predicted model, not a curated record
GCGGCCGCGGUGUGCAGUGACAGUCCCCGACUGCGAGGCACGAGCCUCCAGCACCUGGCCGCCGCCAUCUUUGCCGGGAAUUGCGGUCCCGGAAGGCAAUUUCAGCAAUUGUCCCUGCCCUCUUGUCUUAGGGACCAAUCGGGAAGCGGAAUCCGAGCCAGGCUUGCGGAGACAGAUUUUCAGUAGGCUUGAGGAAGAAAGGGACCCUUGCUAUUGCCCCAGGAACCUUGGACAAAGUACCAGCCAGAGACCCAACUUGGGCAGAGAAGAUACCCUAAAUGGAGUAGACCUGGAGAUGCCAACCACACAUUUCACAAAUGAGGAACCUAAGACUCCAAGAGGACAGGCCAUGGCACAUUCAAUAUUCUUCGACAACACCAUAAUUCAAAGGCAUCAGUUCUUCUUCAGUCUUCCUUAUUCAUUGUCCUGCUUUCACAUGUGUAUGAGACUACUGAAAACACCAUGGCUUGGGGAAAUCCAACAGGACUGAUGGAUGCUGAAGGUAUACGGAAUCAUACUACUUCAAUCAAGACUGACUGGAUUAAAUGGCCCUUUGGAGCCCUGGUGCUGCAACGGUUAAGAGCUCAGGCUGCUAACCAAAAGUUUGGCAGUUUGAAUCCACCAGCCACUCCUUUGAAAUCCUGUGGGACAGCUCUACUCUGUCCUAUAGGGCUGCUAUGAGUCGAAAUCAACUCCACAGCAAGGGUUUUUUGUUUUGUUUUGUUUUGUUUUGGCUUGCUUAGCAGUGCCUCUGGUGUUAGGUGCAGUAAAAGAGAAGGAAAAAUGUCCUAUCUUGUCGGCAAUAGUGUAGUGGUUAGCUGCAAACUUAAUAAGCUUAUGUCUAAUGGUUGCUGAGACAUCUACUCUUUGCUAUUUUGUUUCUCACUUGGUAAUGAUUCCUAAUAGAUGAGAUUUGAAAAAGACAUAAAUCAUUAUUUCCCAGUUAGAACAGCAAUUCCAAAUCAAACAAUAUGUUUGGCAUUUUCAGAAAUGCUUUAUUGGAAUGAUCAAGGGGUUGAAAGGUUGGAGUGAGGCAUAAUGAUCAUUUCCCUUAAACGGGAGACGGUCAUGAUGAAAGUUGCUUUUUAUCAGUAAUUAGAGUUCUAUUGCAGCAACAUAUCCUAAUUAUGAUAUUUAGACCAUUAGCAAAUGAACAAUGUUAUUUAGAUUUUGCUAUGGAAAAUUACCUUAGGCCAUGUGGCAUCUUAUGGAGUGAUUGAGUGUAAUGCUGUUUGUGGUCUACGUCUCACUAACUCACCGACCCCUGUCUCACAUACACACUCCAUCUGGACUCACUUAUUAAAGGCAGUUUAGUGUUCAACACAGAACUUGAAAAGUGCCACUUCAAUGGGUUUGGAUGUGAAUUAUGAAUAUUUCUGCAUCUUAUUAAGUUUCAUACAACAUGGCAAACAUUAUGAAUGGUGAAAUACAGUGAAACAGGUAUCUAAUGAGAAGUAAACAUUUAUGAAUGACCACAGUCCUCUUUGAAUCAUUCUUUCAUAAUCACAGACAAUGAAUCGUAAAACAACUUAGAUAUUAGAAAAUGACUAGAGGUUAUUUUAAAAAUUAUUUGCCCUAGCAUAUUGUGUAAGCUAACUCAUCAGAUGAAUUCAUUCACCAUGCACCAGUCACAUUCACAUUAUCAGACACUAUGCCAGAAAUUAGGGGUAGAGGGAACUCUGCUCUAGAGGUGCUUUGUUCUGAAUGAGUCUAGUACAAAUAACAUUUCUACCCGUUGGGCAAUGAAGAGUUGUGGUUGGUACAGUUACCAGGACCUUCUUGCACUUUUUUAGGGUGAGAAAGAAAUGAUGCUGAUUUAAUAUUCUCGGAAAAACAGCUGAGUGUUAAGCAUCAAGAUCGAUUUCCUGGCCUGAUUUGUGUAAUUAGUCCAGCUCGCCUUGCCUUGGCAAUCUAGUGUUACCUGACCCGAGUGGCUGUUCUGUCACUUUCCUCACAGGACAGCAGUACUUUAGAAUUUAAGAGCUCUUUUGUUUCAGGAAAUUUUGCCAAUUAUUCAAUCUAAGGUUUCAUUUAUUUAAUGACUUCCUCAUUUUACCAGCUAACGUGCUUCCUCAUUCCAUCAUCUUUUUGCCUUUUUAUUGUGCUUAGUUGUUCUUUGGUCUAGCUACGGUCAAUUUGAUCUUUCUUCCUAAGUCAGUGACUCUAACCCCUGAAGGCAGAAGGCCAAAGGCCAAGUGACUUUAACGAACAAUGUAUGAAAACUCUGAAAGAAUCAUGAACUGGGUGACAUUACUGGGGACAUGUAAGUUGAGGGGAGGGUCUGAUGUUACUGUCAAUCUUAGUAAAGUAUCAACUCUGAGCUGCAAUAAUUCAAAAUGAAGUAUUUUUAUUGGUAUUGGAGAGCUUUUAAAGAUCUUUCCUUUUUUGUUUAUUUAGGCAUUUUGUGCCAUUAAUUGGGUGGGAGGCAUUGUGGAGUUUAUAGGAGCAAGAACAAUAAGGACAAAGGGGAGUUUCCAGCCCUGGGUAAUGUGUGGCCACUUGAAACUGUCAGAGGGGGUGUGCUUUAUGGAAAAUACUUAAACACAUUUCUGUAAAAUGCUUAAGAGAACUUGUGUAUAAUAUAAUAAUACUUUAGAAGUUUUAAUAAGCAGAUUACUUCCUAAUUUGUAGUGACAAACAUAUAAAGCAAUGGAAGAAAUCUUAGAGGCUUUAAACAUAUCAAUAUGUGCCCAUUGUUUGUCAGAGCUAUGAUUUUCUUUGGGUUAAAAUCGAUACCAGAUGCAUAAGAGUACUUAAUAAAUGUUAGUUAAGUGGGAUAAUUUUUACUUAUAUUCAUUACAAUUUUCUUUUUCGAUUAUUUGUGGUUUCGAGUUCCAUGAAUUCUAAUCUUAUUUUGCUAAUUUGACUUUUAAGUGUUAAUUUUAAGCUUUCUCUUCAUUUCUUUCCAGUAUCUUCAGACUUCUGUGUGGGGAUUUACACUUCAUAUUCUUUUGUCACUUAUUCAAUGUUGUCUUUGUUCUGUUUCGGAAAUUUUUCUUUACCAUUAUUUGCCAAUGUUUGAUGCCUUUGCAAGUGGAUUUAUGCUAAUUUUCAUUUUAAACAGCUUAAAAUUUUCACCCAAAAUUAUUUGCAUCCUGUUUUAAAAUUUAUGUUUUUGAUUUUUACAGAAAAUUAAGAUGGAAAAUUAUGCAGUAUGAGGGCAUUGUACCGUUUUCCAUACAAUGAAUAUACAAUUAUUUUAAAAAUUGUAGUUCUUACCUCUAAGACAAUUUUCUAGUUAAAUUUUCAUUAGUUAGGGAGUAAUUCUCAUUACUUUAUUCCAGAUGCUAUAUUAGGUCUAGCACAGAGUAAGCAUUCAGUAAAUGAAAGUUACUUUUUGUUAUCUGAUAUGCUUUGUAUUUUAGGAAAUCAUUUUACAUAAGGAAUUAAUCCUGUCAUACUUGAAUAGUGUUACAUUUGGAUCAAGUUGUUGGGAAAAUAAGGCAGACUCCCUUUCCUUUCGUGGGUCAUUUCAUCGAUCUCUUAGGCUAAUAAUCAGUUUCAGAGUACUCAGACAAAUAUGUCAGUCCCUUUAACAUAGCCAAAUAAACAUCUACUACAAAUGAAAGAAAAUUCUCUCAAUAACUCUGUUAGAUAAAUUAAGCCAUUUUAGAUAGUUGAGGAUUAUUAUUCAUGGAAAACCCCACGUGUGAUUCUUCUAAACACAGACCGAGAAAAAAUUGUUGUUAAUGUAUAUUUCCAAGUGUCACAGAUAGGGUGGAAAAAAAAUACGUGAAAUAUUUGGACUAGAGUAUCACCCAUCUCAUCCUUUCAGAUGUCUUAACAAUUGAUCUGGAACUUCACAUAUUCUCUCUGAUGAUAGCAGUCAUCUAAAUAGUCAAAAUUACUCUGUUGGCAUGCCAAGGUUCAGUCUGACUGUAAGAUAUAAACAUGAUCAUCAUUAUCAAAUACGGGCCAGAUGUUCAUCUCCUGAUUCUAUGGAAACGAUUACUUGUGUUAUGGCGUGUACUGAGUCUUGUCAUGAAAAAAACAAACUUCAUUUAGCAUAGAAGAAAGUGCACAAUUUUGAAUGAUCCUACUGAAUGAAAAAAAGAGAGAGAGAGAGAGAGAUUUUCUUGGAUAGAAUUGAUAUUUGGGCACUGAGGCCUAUGAUUUUGCUCAAUGAGAGUAAUCUUCCCAUCUAUCCCUAACUGUUACUCCUUCAGUGCAUCAUCUCAUUUAUUCUUAUGAGCAUGUUCUAAUUUAAGAGGGUGAGAGUUUUCUUCACCCAGAUAUCCUCUUUUCUUCCAGUUAUUCUAAUUUAAUAAUAGUUACUGAAGGAGAAAACCCAAAGAAGACUCAUUUCUUAAUUAGCCCUGCAUUUUUUAAAUAUAUUUUUGUUCAUAUAACUACACUGAUUGGUUUAAAGUCAGGAAAGGCGUGCAUCAGGGGUGUAUUCUUUCACCAUAUCUAUUCAAUCUGUAUGCUGAGCAAAUAAUACGAGAAGCUGGACUAUAUGAAGAACAGGGCAUCAGGAUUGGAGGAAGACUCAUUAACAACCUGCGUUAUGCAGAUGACACAACCUUGCUUGCUGAAAGUGAAGAGGACUUGAAGCACUUACUAAUGAAGAUUACAGACCACAGCCUUCAUUCAGUAUGGUUUGCAGCUCAACAUAACGAAAACAAAAAUCCUCACAACUGGACCAAUGAGCAACAUCAUGAUAAAUGGAGAAAAGAUUGAAGUUAUCAAGGAUUUCAUUUUACUUGGAUCCACAAUCAACACCCAUGGAAGCAGCAGUCAAGAAAUCAAAAGACACAUUGCACUGGGUAAAUCUGCUGCAAAGGACCUCUUUAAAGUGUUGAAGAAUGAAAAUGUUACCUUGAAGACUAAGGUGCACCUGACCCAAGCCAUGGUAUUUUCAAUCGCAUCAUAUGCAUGUGAAAGCUGAACAAUGAAUAAGGAAGACCGAAGAAGAUUUGACGCCUUUGAAUUGUGGUGUUGGCGAAGAAUAUUGAAUAUACCAUGGACUGCCAAAAGCACCAACAAAUCUGUCUUAGAAGAAGUACAGCCAGAAUGCUCCUUAAAAGCAAGGAUGGCAAGACUGCGUCUUACAUACUUUGGACGUGUUGUCAGGAGGGAUCAGUCCCUGGAGAAGGACAUCAUGCUUGGCAGAGUACAGGGUCCGUGGAAAAGAGGAAGACCCUCAACGAGGCGGAUUGACACAGUGGCUGCAACAAUGAGCUCAAGCAUAACAACGAUUAUAAGGAUGGCGCAGGACUGGGCAGUGUUUCGUUCUGUUGUGCACAGGGUCGCUAUGAGUGGGAACUGACUCAACAGCACCUAACAACAACAACUACAUUUUAUCACAUACAGAAACUUAAAACAAAACUUCAUUGAUAACCUUAUAACCAGAUAUCACCCAAUCGAUUCUGACUUAUGGUGACCCCAUGUGCGUCAGAGUAGAACUGUGUUCCACAGGGCAUUCGAUGGAUGAUUUUUCAAAUGUAGAUCACCACACCUUUCUUCCAAGGCACUUCUGGGUGGAUUCAAACUUCCAACCUUUAGGUUAGCAGCUGAGCACAUUAACAAACCUUAUAAAACAUGCUAUUUACUGUAUUUUGGUCUAUCUUGUUUUGUUCAUAAACAUGAAGCCCAGAGAAAAUUUUCACUUCUUUUAUUCUGUUUCUGAACACAACUGGCCAUUUUAUCUUACAUCUAGAUAGAAAAAGAAACACAGUAAUAUAGAUUAAAAUAUGCCUGCAAAGACAAAAAAAUAUAGUCACUUCUGCAGAGGGAAAGAUUUUCAAAGAUGAUGCUUGUGUUUCAGGCUAUAUUGGAUUAAAAAAAAAUAUAUUGGAUUAGGAUGUAUUAAAGUCACGUAUUUCAUUGAAUUACAAUUGUUACUACCAUAGAAUGUUAUUUUGGAAGCAUUCACUUAGUUAAAAAUGUACUGUAAAGGCAUGCAUUGAACAAUGUUUCAUGCUUUCCAGUUUCAUGUGUGACUCUUAGCAUAUUUGAAGUAAAGGUUUGCAAUGAAGGUGGAUGUGAAUUGCCUACACAAGCCACACUGAAAAGAAUUUUGAAACUCAGUUUAAGAGUUUAAAGUCAUUCAUUCCAUUGAUGUGUUCACUGCAACCUAUACAGUUAUGCCAUCUGUCACAGUCUUAAAAAUUUAUUUACUCUUUAGAACCCUUGUAUGUAAAGGCGUAUCUGAAGAUCGCUAAAUAGGUAGGGUUGAGUAGGCAUUGUAAUUUCAUGUCUCCACUGGAAAGCAAUUUGAAAUCAGCUGAACAUUAUCAUAUGAACUAUUUAAAUCACAGGGUCAUGUUCAUUAGUAGAUAUCAAAAUUGCUAUGAAAACAAUCCCCUAAUACAAUAUCUAACUCCAAUAUCCUAUAGAUAAAGAACCAAAAUAUUUUAUUUUUCUUCUAGUAUUUUAAUUUGGAAUUAAAUUUAAAAGUUCUCCAGUGACAGCCUAGUAAUUGCCUUUAACAUUCUACAACAGUUUGAAGUAUUUAAAAAAUAAGUGUUUUACUUCAGAUAUGCUUCAUAGCUAUUAGUCAUCUUUAAUGAAUCAAAUAUUUAUCUAUUUGGCUGAGCAUGUUUUCAAAUUAUU